Molecule: long non-coding RNA, 234 nt
Organism: Xenia sp. Carnegie-2017
Lineage: Eukaryota; Metazoa; Cnidaria; Anthozoa; Malacalcyonacea; Xeniidae
Exons: 2
Source: RefSeq, a predicted model, not a curated record
CAACGUCAAAUGAUUCAAAGGAAAGUGUGAAUAAUUUAAGUGGAGGACGCUGUAAAACACAUCAUAUGAAACUGAAAAUUAAAGUUUGUCAUGAUUCAGAUCCUUGUCCUUUCAUUCAACCAAAAUGUCCAUACUCAUCUGUCGGCAAAAAAACUACAACUACAACUUCUACUACGCUCGCUACAACGACUACCACAAAGUUAAAUAUGACUCUGCCCGCAUCAACAGCAAAAA